This 253-nucleotide ribosomal RNA is filed under the name uncultured bacterium. RNAcentral describes it as "partial 16S ribosomal RNA". It matches the Rfam family "Bacterial small subunit ribosomal RNA", at positions 524 to 776 of the family's 1533-position model. The record is from RNAcentral.
UACGAACCGUGCAAACGUUGUUCGGAAUCACUGGGCUUAAAGGGCGCGUAGGCGGCUUGCCAAGUCAGGGGUGAAAUCUUUCGGCUCAACCGGAAAAGUGCCUCUGAUACUGGCGAGCUAGAGGGAGGUAGGGGCAUGUGGAACUUCCGGUGGAGCGGUGAAAUGCGUUGAUAUCGGAAGGAACGCCGGUGGCGAAAGCGACGUGCUGGACCUCUUCUGACGCUGAGGCGCGAAAGCUAGGGGAGCGAACGGG